Molecule: non-coding RNA, 6198 nt
Organism: Rattus norvegicus (Norway rat)
Lineage: Eukaryota; Metazoa; Chordata; Mammalia; Rodentia; Muridae
Source: RefSeq, a predicted model, not a curated record
AAAAAGAGUAAGCCUUGUCGAUACACCAAGGGCCCUCAUCCAGUGUUCCUCGGCAAACAGUUGAUUUGUACUGUUGGGAGUUCUGACUCCAGUCAGAACUGAGUGUUGUUGGCUUUGUCACUACUGUACCGGCCACUAGCAGCUGUGUAGCUAAUCCUGGUUACCUCUUCAGAUCUUUUUUUCCAGUAGGCCCUACUUGCCCCCAAGCACCCAAGACAUGGGACUAAUUAAUUCAGUGUGACUCUGGCCUUGGCUUCGAGGGUGCUUCUGCUUGGGCAUUGCUGUAGUCCUUUGUCAGUCACUCCUCGUUCCAAUUAGAAAAAUCCCUAUGGGAUAGGUUUUCUCUAUUUUUGACAUCCCAGAGUUGCCAUGAUAAACAAGAUAAAUAUCUCAAAGUAAACAUUGAAGCCGUGUGUGCUAGCACACCACUCCAGCACUUGGGAGGAGGAGGCAGGAGCUCAAAGCAGGCUCAGUAGCUCGCACAGUUCUAGCUAUUCGUAAAAUGAAGCGGGAAGAUUUUAAGUUUAAGGCCAGCAUGAACAUCCUGGCAACCAGGGGUGGCAAGACACCAUGCCAGUAAAAAAGGGGCCUGGAGAGAUGGCUCAGUGACUGGAAUUUGGUUCCCAGCACCCACUGCACGGCUACCUAUAAGUGACCUGAUGCCCUUGGGCCUCUGGGCACCCAUACACAUGUACACUGAUAUAUAGACACACUUACACGAAGUCAAGUUCUGAGAAUAAUUCAUGUCAAAAGCUUCCAAAAGUUCCAAAAGAACUAGUGAGGUCAGGUAUCAAGAAAAAUUCAGGGGUUGGGGAUUUAGCUCAGUGGUAGAGCGCUUGCCUAGGAAGCGCAAGGCCCUGGGUUCGGUCCCCAGCUCCGAAAAAAAGAACCAAAAAAAAAAAAAAUCCAUUGACUUUGCCUUCAAAACCCACAUUCUUCACCAUAAUGUGCAUGAAGCUAAAAUUUUGUCAUCCUAUAAGUCAUUUGUGACUUCCAGAUGGUCUUAAUGUCUUAAAUUUCAGUCUCUGGCUGAGGGGCAUGGGGCCUCCUGGUUCUGUAGCUCUUUUGUGUCUGCUGUCCCUGUCAACGUUUGUCUGCCAUACCAUAUACUUCUUGCCCAAAUGCCACUCUUUCUAAGUUGUUUCUCCUUUAUACCUACUUUCCACUUUGUCCUAUGUUUUGGUGAAGGUUGGCAAACAUGUUAAGGGCCGUCACCUCACAUUGCAGGAAAUUGAACUCGGUUUUCAUGCAGAUGAAAUAAAUACUCAUGCCAUUUAGCCAUUUUAUUUUGAAGACACAGGGUCUCUGUGUUGUCCAGGCUUGCCAGAAAAUCCUGGGCUCAACAUGGUUUAGAGCGACCAGGACUUGGUCGAGAGGGUCCUAUCUCUCCCAAGUCUCCCUGUCUGGGAAAGGUAGGUAGAGAUGGGAAAGAAGCUGGAGAAAUAUAGUCUCUUCUACUCUCCAGGACUCUGAACUGUCGAUAGGGCAGUUAGAAGUGGAAUUUAAUGAAAGUCUUGCGGGGGUUAUGGGAAGUGUAAACAUCUGAAUCAGUCUCUUUUGUAGGGUAGUGUGCUUCUGGCUAGUGUACUUCAUACUGUGACUUGUGGAGCCCCAGCUCUAGACUCAAGGGAAUCCUCCCAUAACUUAAAUGCAGACACCUGAGAAUACAUAUGUACUUGGAAUUUUCUCACUCCAGCUAUCCCUGAUCUGAUUGAGAGGGACCUACUACAAAGGAGUGUGGGUGUUUUGAGACAGGGGUCCUAUAAUCUUGGCUGUAGACCAGGAUGACCUCAAACUCAGAGUCCUCUUGCCUGGACUUCCCAAGUACUAGGAUUAAAAGGCACCAACCAUAGUUAAGUCAAAAAGUAGCUUUUUGCCUUUAUAAAGCCCAGGCAUCACUGGAAGUGCAGCCCAGGUUCUUGUCUUCCUGAUUGUUUUUACAGUUGCUAGGAUUACAAAUAGGUUGCCAGACUUUUAAAUUCGCAUCUGAGCAGGGCAGACAGAACCUUGGGUGUGAACCUUUGGUGUUGGGUAAUUCUUACUGAAGACAGACACCUAUUCUGGUUUCCUUUGAGUGCCUACACCACCUACCGAACCCGUGUCUUGGGACAGACCAAAUUGGGCCUUUGGAAUCCCCUGGAGGGUGGCGUCCCCUGGUGUUCGCGUCAGGGACUACGGGGCAGGGUAAAAGUAGGGCACCAGGACCUGCAAGAGGCAAGCAUGAAAAGGCAAGAAGACCCUUUCCCCUACACCAUUCACCACACCCAUGAGUACCCGGAAGGAAAAGUCCCUGAGAGAUAGCAGCAGUGAAGAUUCUACCGUCCUCCCACAACAUCCAACCCGGAGGAACUCAGCCAACGAAGCCGGGGCGGGGAGGGGCCGGGCCGGGGGCGGCCUGGCAGGAAGCAGCGCGUACCUUCCGCUGCAGGAGGAGCAGGUGGCUGCAGUGCUGCCUGGGCCCCUGGCUUCCUGUGUACGCUCCUGCCGGCUGCUUUUUCCCGCCAGAGCUCAUUGGGCCGUCUCGGCCCUAUGGCUCACACCCCAGAUGGCAUAUCCUGUGAACUGCGAGGCGAGAUUACCAAGUUCCUGUGGCCCAAGGAGGCGGAGCUGCUGUUGAAAACCUGGCUUCCCCAGGAGGGUGCUGAGCAAAGUCACAUCCUGGCACUGCUUCGAUGGAGGGCAUAUUUGCUGCACACUUGCCUUCCCCUGAGGGUGGACUGCACAUUCAGCUACCUGGAGGUCCAGGCCAUGGCUCUGCAGGAGACACCUCCUCGGGUCACCUUUGAACUGGAGUCCCUGCCUAAACUGGUCCUGGAGUUUCCCGGGGUGGCCGCCCUAGAACAGCUAGCUCAGCAUGUGGCUGCUGCCAUCAAAAAGGUCUUCCCUCGCUCAACCCUUGGGAAGCUAUUCCGGAAGCCCACGCCCUCAUCGCUGUUGGCUCGACUGGAGAAAAGCCAUCCCUUAGAGUCUACAGUACCCAGCAGUCCUUGUGGUGGCUUCUUGGAGACAUAUGAAGCUCUCUGUGACUACAAUGGCUUCCCAUUCCGAGAGGAGAUUCAGUGGGAUGUGGACACUAUCUACCAUCGCCAGGGCUGCCGCCAUUUCUGCCUUGGAGAUUUCAGCCACCUUGGCAGCCGAGACCUGGCCUUGAGUGUAGCUGCCUUAUCUUAUAACCUGUGGUUCCGGCGACUCUCCUGCAUGGACAUGAAGCUGAGCCUGGAGGUCUCAGAACAGAUCCUGCACAUGACGAGUCAGUCUUCCUAUUUGGAGGAGCUGGUACUGGAGACCUGCGGCCUGAGAGGAGACUUCGUUAGGCGAUUAGCCCAGGCACUGGCAGGACAUUUUAAUUCUGGACUUCGGGAGCUCAGCCUGUCUGGGAACUUGCUGGAUGAUAGAGGUAUGGCCACACUCAGCAGACACCUAGAGCAUUGUCCAGGAGCCUUGAGGAAACUCUGCCUAGCACAGACGGGGUUGACACCUCGAGGAAUGAGAGCUCUAGGAAGGGCACUGGCAACGAAUGCCACCUUUGACUCUACCCUGACCCACCUGGAUCUUUCUGGGAACCCUGGGGCACUGGGAGCCUCACAGGAUGGUGGGGGCCUGUAUACUUUCCUGAGUCGUCCUAAUGUUCUGGCCUAUUUGAAUCUAGCAGGCACCGACACUGCUCUAGGCAUGCUUUUCAUGGCGUUAUCUGGUGGCUGCUGCGCCAACCUCACCCAUCUCGAAGCUUCGAGGAAUAUCUUCUCUCGCACGAAGUCCCAAGCGGUGCCAGACGCACUGCAGCGCUUCCUUGGUGGUGCCAGGAUGCUGCGGCAUCUAGGCCUGGCUGGCUGCAAGCUGCCACCCGAAGCGCUCAGGGCCCUUCUAGAUGGUCUUGCGCUCAACACUCAGAUUCAUGACCUGCACCUAGAUCUCAGCGCAUGUGAGCUGCGCUCCGUGGGUGCCCAGGUGAUACAAGACUUAGUUUGUGAUGCGGGCGCCUUGAGUUCCUUGGAUCUGUCAGAUAAUGGCUUUGGCUCCGACAUGGUGACCCUGGUGCUGGCCAUCGGGAGGAGCCGUUCUCUGAAACAUGUGGCCCUUGGAAGGAACUUCAAUGUUCGCUGCAAGGAGACACUGGAUGACGUCCUGCACCGGAUAGUCCAGCUCAUGCAGGAUGAUGACUGUCCUUUGCAGUCUCUAUCCGUGGCUGAGUCGCGCUUGAAGCAGGGUGCCAGCGUCCUGAUUCGGGCUUUGGGCACCAAUCCUAAACUGUCAGUGCUGGAUAUCAGUGGCAAUGCCAUAGGAGAUACUGGCGCCAAGAUGCUAGCCAAGGCUCUACGAGUCAACACCAGGCUACGGUCUGUGAUCUGGGAUCGAAACAACACAUCUGCUCUGGGCCUGCUGGAUGUGGCGGAAGCCCUGGAACAGAACCACAGCCUGAAGUCCAUGCCGCUGCCACUAAAUGACAUAACACAGGCACAUCGCAGCCGGCCAGAACUGACAGCCCGAGCAGUUCAUCAGAUCCAAGCCUGUCUCUGGAGGAACAACCGGGCAGACUCUACUUCUGACCGGAAGCCCUGCCUUCAGCCCUUGGGUCUGAUUUCAGACCACUCAGAGCAGGAGGUGAAUGAGCUAUGCCAGUCAGUACAGGAGCAUGUGGAGCUGCUGGGCUGUGGGGCUGGGCCCCAGGGUGAGGUUGCUGUGCACCAGGCUGAGGACGCCAUCCAGAAUGCCAACUUCUCUCUUAGUAUCCUUCCCAUUCUAUUUGAGGCUGGGAGCUCUCCAAGCCACCACUGGCAGCUGCAACAGAAGCUGGAAGGCCUCUUGGGUCAGGUGGGCGAGAUCUGCCGCCAGGACAUCCAGGACUUCACUCAGACCACACUGGAUACCACAAGGAGCCUCUGCCCACAGAUGCUGCAGAGACCUGGCUGGAGGAAGCAGCUGGAGGGAGUUCUGGUGGGCUCCGGGGGCCUCCCAGAACUGCUUCCAGAACAUCUGCUACAAGAUGCCUUAACUAGGCUGAGGGACAUGCGCCUGUCAAUCACAGGGACCCUAGCAGAGAACAUUGUGGCUCAGGCCCUUGCAGGUCUUCAUGCAGCCCGAGAUCGACUGGUGGAGAGUCUAGCUCAGCAGGCACCAGUGACGGUGGUCCCUGCUGUACCACCACUGUGUGGAGAUGAGCUCACCCUCCUUGAGUCUGGGGGAGUGGAAGAGUUUUUCUUUCCCACGGAGGAGGAAGAGGAGAGAGAAAAGGAUGAUGGUUCCUCAUGGAAAUGGCUUGAGCCCAGUAAUUGCUUCCUGGUCCCGUCCCUUCAUGGUGCUGCUGAGGAAGCAGAACGGGACCCCGAGCUGGCAGCUCCGGGGGAAGAUGCGGAGCCGCAGGCUGGGCCGUCUGCACGCGGCUCUCCAAGCCCCGCCGCCCCAGGGCCUCCCGCCGGCCCUCUGCCUCGCAUGGACCUGCCACCCGCCGGGCAACCCCUACGCCAUCCGACCCGAGCCCGACCGAGGCCACGUCGCCAGCACCACCACCGCCCGCCGCCGGGGGGCCCCCAGGUGUCCCCAGCCCUACUUCAAGAAGGGAAUGGGCUCACUGCUCGUGUCGAUGAGGGUGUGGAGGAAUUCUUCUCCAAAAGGCUGAUCCAGCAGGAUCGCCUCUGGGCCCCUGAGGAGGAUACAGCCACUGAGGGUGGUACCACUCCUGUUCCCCGUACACUUCGAAAGAAGCUGGGUACCCUCUUUGCCUUUAAGAAACCUCGUUCAACAAGGGGUCCACGACCUGACCUAGAGACCAGCCCUGGAGCAGCAGCUCGUGCCAGAAAGACCACACUUGGGGAUCUGCUUCGACCACCAGCCCGUCCAGGCCGUGGUGAGGAGCCUGGAGGAGCAGAAGGCGGCACCAGUAGCCCUGAUGCGGCUCGCAGAAAUCGGCCUCGUUACACUCGGGAAAGCAAGGCCUAUUCCAUGAUACUGCUGCCUGCUGAGGAGGAAGCGGCAGUGGGUGCCAGACCUGAUAAGGCAUCUCUGUCCUCAGAGGCGGCCUCUGGAACGGGGAGACACAGAACUGGCCCCAUCUUUUGAGCAGCGGGUACAAGUGGUGCUGCAGAGGAUCGGCGUAAGCCGGGGCAGUGGGGGUGCUGAAAGCAAGAGGAAGCAAAGCAAGGAUGGUGAGAUCAAGAAAGCAGGCUCUGAUGGUGACAUUAUGGACAGUUCCACAGAGAC